UUGGGCGUAAGCGAGCGCAGGCGGAAAGAUAAGUCAGAUGUGAAAGCCCUCGGCUUAACCGAGGAAUAGCAUCGGAAACUGUCUUUCUUGAGUGCAGAAGAGGAGAGUGGAACUCCAUGUGUAGCGGUGGAAUGCGUAGAUAUAUGGAAGAACACCAGUGGCGAAGGCGGCUCUCUGGUCUGUAACUGACGCUGAGGCUCGAAAGCAUGGGUAGCGAACAGGAUUAGAUACCCUGGUAGUCCAUGCUGUAAACGAUGAGUGCUAAGUGUUGGGAGGUUUCCGCCUCUCAGUGCUGCAGCUAACGCAUUAAGCACUCCGCCUGGGGAGUACGACCGCAAGGUCAAAACUCAAAGGAAUUGACGGGGGCCCGCACAAGCAGUGGAGCAUGUGGUUUAAUUCGAAGCAACGCGAAGAACCUUACCAGGUCUUGACAUCUAGUGCCAACUUAAGAGAUUAGGCGUUCCCUUCGGGGACACUAAGACAGGUGGUGCAUGGCUGUCGUCAGCUCGUGUCGUGAGAUGUUGGGUUAAGUCCCGCAACGAGCGCAACCCUUAUUAUUAGUUGCCAGCAUUAAGUUGGGCACUCUAAUGAGACUGCCGGUGACAAACCGGAGGAAGGUGGGGAUGACGUCAAGUCAUCAUGCCCCUUAUGACCUGGGCUAC
RNAcentral lists this ribosomal RNA (662 nucleotides) under uncultured bacterium. Its description in RNAcentral is "bacterial SSU rRNA". It matches the Rfam family "Bacterial small subunit ribosomal RNA", at positions 554 to 1217 of the family's 1533-position model. The record is from RNAcentral.